This 253-nucleotide ribosomal RNA is filed under the name uncultured bacterium. RNAcentral describes it as "partial 16S ribosomal RNA". It matches the Rfam family "Bacterial small subunit ribosomal RNA", at positions 524 to 776 of the family's 1533-position model. The record is from RNAcentral.
UACGUAGGGGGCAAGCGUUGUCCGGAAUUAUUGGGCGUAAAGCGCGUGUAGGCGGCCAGAAAAGUCCGCUGUGAAAACUCGAGGCUCAACUUCGAGCUGUCGGUGGAAACUUUCUGGCUAGAGUCCGGAAGAGGAGAAUGGAAUUCCUGGUGUAGCGGUGAAAUGCGCAGAUAUCAGGAAGAACACCUAUGGCGAAGGCAGCUCUCUGGGACGGUACUGACGCUGAGACGCGAAAGCGUGGGGAGCGAACAGG